UCAAUUUUAUGGUGAGAUUUUACAUCAUUUUUGUUGACAUUUUAAUAAGAAACAUAUUAACUAUAAGAGGUUGUAUGAGAGAUCUCCCGAAUGCAUUCCUGCUAUCAAACUUAAAUUGUAUAUGCUUUGAUCAAUAUCUCCCCAAUACCCUUUUCCCCAACCAUACCAUUGUAUUCUAUUUGUAUGAGAUGAACUUUUUGAGAUUUCUAUUGUUUUAAGAUACUAUGUUUUGAGGGAACUUAUUUCAGAGAAAUAGUCAACAAAUAGAAUAUCCAAAAUUUGUCAGGCUGUGUUCUAGAUGCUUCCCAUAUACUACUUUGUUUAAAAUUUUGAGUGUUUUGACAUCCUGAUGAAGUACUAUCCAUAUAUAUUUAAAUUUCAACAGUACAUUUUCCAAAGAGAUAAAUGAACCAUGAAUGUUAUUUCACUAGCUAAAGUCACACAGUUAUGAAGAAAUGAAGCCAGGAUUCAAACUUAGGUUGGGCAGCCCGAGUUAGAUAGUCUAUGUACAAAAGAAUUUUCAUCAAAGGAGUCUUGUCUGUAAGAGAUUUUUCUAUCUCCAAAUUGUCAAGACUGCAUGCUGAGAAAGUGAACCAAAAAUAAACCAUGCUGUAAAAUAUAGAACUUUUCAAAAUAUGUUAUAACAAGAAAUUUCUUUUUAAUCUUUCCCUCUCCGUCCAUCCCACUGACAUAUACAAAACACCCUAAUACAAAUACUUAAAGUAAUGAAAUACCAACUUCUGUGUGAAGACUCAAAGUGUGCCAGGAAAAACAUGUGCCUGCUGCCGUGGAUGGUAUUAGUUCCCAGACCUUCAGGACACCUCCUGCUAAUUUAUUUUCAUCACCAGCAGUUUGAAUCAUAUCGUGUCCCUCUUGUUUUCAUCAUUCAGCACCACUUACAAAAAGUAAGAGAUAAAAAUAAAAGCCCUCAUUCCUAAGAUUUGAGCCAUAUGGUGGGAUUGAGCUGAUUGCAUGACAUUGGACGGCAGGAGACCUAAACUUGGACUUGGUUCUACCUCUAGAAGCUACAGCUACAUGUCUGGUGCCAAAGCACGUAUAGGAGAUAAAAAGAGAAGCCCUACCAAUUCCUGCAAGAGUUCACCGUCUGGAAAAUGUUCAUGGAGCCAAUAAAUAAUUCAGUAGUUUUCCAUGGACACGUUAAUGAAAACUUGCAUUUUAUUAUACCUGCAGUGGAUAUCGGCUUGCUGUUUUACUUAAAAGUAAGUCUGACUGUAACUAAUAGAAAAAAUGAAAUGAUAAUGGCUUUAACAAUAUAGAAGUUUAUUCUUUG
This is a non-coding RNA of Oryctolagus cuniculus (rabbit), 1291 nucleotides long. Lineage: Eukaryota; Metazoa; Chordata; Mammalia; Lagomorpha; Leporidae. The record is from RefSeq and is a predicted model, not a curated record.